GUUCAAUAUGGAAAUGACAGUUCUCUUAACGCUUAAUGCGACAUUGUGAAUAAUAUUGUGUCCGGUAUCAUUGAACAUCCAAGACGGUGGAGCGAUUAGUUUUUCCAAUCACGGACGACACAAUUGUUCAUCGGGUACAUAUAUAUAUAAGAAUCAGGAUUAGAUCGAACAUUACAGUCACAGGUGCUGACAACAAUCCUACCUAGUUUGUCUAGACUCGGUUUUGUUGUUUCGACGUCACGGAUUUAUUACAAAAGUCAACAUGUUCAAGCUGAUGUUGCUCCUCAUCGCCGCAGCAAUGCUCUUUGCAGCACCAACUUAUGCUAAACCUCAGGUUCUGCUCGACUACGGAUACUACGCGCCUGCCUACGUCGCGGGCUACAGCGCUCCCUAUGCCUAUUCGUACCCCUAUGCCUACGCUUAUUCCUAUCCGUAAGCGAACUCAACGCGAACACGGCGCGUUCUGGAACUA
RNAcentral lists this unclassified non-coding RNA (472 nucleotides) under Melitaea cinxia (Glanville fritillary). RNAcentral's name for it is "misc RNA ENSMCXG00005000889.1". Lineage: Eukaryota; Metazoa; Arthropoda; Insecta; Lepidoptera; Nymphalidae. The record is from RNAcentral.